UAUGACCAUAUCAAGUUGAAACACUAGUUCCCAUAUGAUCACUGAAGUUAAGCAACAUCAUGCCUGGUCAGUACCUAGAUUGGUGAUCGCUUGGGAACACAAGGUGCUGUAAG
Non-coding RNA from Acanthosepion pharaonis, 113 nucleotides. The record is from the annotation of a GenBank genome assembly. NCBI's taxonomy places the organism in Eukaryota, Metazoa, Mollusca, Cephalopoda, Sepiida, Sepiidae.